CAUGAAUCUCUCUCUCUCUCACUCUCUCUCUCUCUCUCUAUAAAGACAUCUGAAUCGAACCUUUUCAUUUGUGAAUUGAUCAAGUAUUUUUAUUCUAUUUGAUUCUUAAUUGUUUUAUAUAUCUAUGUAUAAAAUAUGCGACUCUAUAUGUACAUCUAAAUUUACGUCUUUUGAAUUUUGGUGUUCUACUUCAAAAUUAGAAAACCUAUUUUAUUGAUUUUUAUUUAUUUAUGCCUGUAUUUUAGGAAAUUUAGUCAAUCUCCUCUUGUAUGAAUCUAUAGUUAUUGCUUUUGAUUCACAGAUAAGAGGAAUUGAAGCUAGGGUUUCAUAAACUCUUAGUCUGAUUACCACUGUUUAGAUUCAAAAUUAUAGCUGUAAAAUGGAAUUGAAUAAUCGAUGGGAUUAAAAACACAGUUCAAUUGUUAUUGAAAUUGGAAGUCUAUCAGAUAUUCUGGAUGGUUCUAGAACUUCCAUUCUGCUAAUGUAUCCCUUGUGCACUUGAUGCUAAAUUCCUAUUCUUCUAAUGUAUCCCAUUCUGCUUAUGUAUAUUACCCUAUUUUGUUUAUUUUAUAGGCUGCUAUUGUUCCAAUUGGUUUGCUGCUUGGUUCAACCUAAACUUCAUCUAUAUUCUUCCAUGGUCAUAGGUUGUGACACUUCAUGAAUUAAAUUCUCUGAUUUGUGGCACACAGAACACAAACUUUGGUUUUAUUGUAAGGGUCUUUGUUUGAGUGAGCUUUUUGAAUUUUUUAUUUUAUUUUUUAAAUUUUUUUCACAUAUGGUGAAAUAAAUGGGGAAAAGUUUCAUUAAUUUUGGAUGAUUUUCUCUUUUGGGGGGUGGAAAUAAUUUUUGAAAAUUCAAAAUUAUAUUUUGUGGUGUUUUUUAUUUAUUUAUCAAGCUACUCUGUUAAUAUUCUAAUAAGUCCCUUGUUUGGUUAUGGUAUAGAUGUAUUUGUCCCAAAAUGCAGGUUGCUGAAUUUGUUCAUAGCAGUGACAGAUUUUCUUGUUGGAAAUAAGCUCUCUGGCUAAUUUUGCGCUGUCAUAUUUUUGGUUAUCUUUACCUUUUGGCAGAUUUGGUACUCCGUUCCUAAGCCAGAAGCUCACAAGGAAACUCCCUUAAGUGAAUUUUUUAAUGUUGAAGUUGUGGCUCUUUCUAGUUAUGAAGAGAAAGAAGAGCAAUUUAAAGAGCAGGUACACUUGUGCAGAGUACCAGACUGAUGUAAAAUUAUGUCGCUUAUUAUUAUGAGUAAAGAAUAUAGAAUUAUAGAAGAACUCUGGCACACUAGACAAAAUCAUGUGUUUACCUGUUUUAUAGCUUUAUGUAAUACAAAAUUAUAGAAGUUCAAAAUUUUUAUUUUUAUAUUUUUUUGAAAUAAUCCCAUUUCAAAUCUUAUUUAUGUAUUUAUUUAUUUAUUUUUUGCAUUUCAGUACAUUUUUUUUAAAAAAUUUCUUGGAAAUUCAAAUUGAAUUAGUUCAUAUUUUCUAAAUACCUUAUUCUGCGGCAUUGAAUUCUCUUAAUUAUUUCUUUACUAUCCUUGUGAGAGGCUAAAAGACAAAAAAAGGGAGUGUGAAUAUCAAUUUACUACACAAUAUCGAACUCUUGUUGUGAAUUGAAUUGCCUAAAUCAUUUUUCUUAUCUUCUGCUUCUUUAUGCAAUUGACAUGAUAAGCUGAUGACAAAUCAAUUAUUGUACAAUCUGUAGCAUAACCAAGGACUCAGCAUCCGGAUUCUUCUGAUGUACAGGUAAAUCAUCUUGGAACACCAAAGAGCUAUUUACGAUGAUCAUAUCAUUCUUCCUUACCAUUGCAUCUAUAAGCCUUUGUUGGGCCAAUUUAGUGAAGAUAUGUAUGCUUGAACAUAAACAAUAGAUUAGAUCCUCGAUUGCUUUUGGGAAAGAUUUGAACCUGUCUUGGUCCUCAUGUUCCUCUUGGAAAUUAUGCUACAUUUAUCCUACAGUUUUACGAGUUUUCAAGGAACUCCGUUGCUUUGCUUGUAAAAUUUCUAUAUCUAAACGGUCCUACAUUGGUUUUGCUGUUACCUCAUGUGCACUUGAACUUGAAAGUCCUUUGCAAAAGUUUGAGUUGAUUCCUAGUGCAUCAUGAAGCUUGGUUUAACACUAUAGGUCUUUGAACAUGUUUACCUUUGGCCUAAGCACAACUUUAAGUAAAAAAUAAUAGGACAAAUGCUACUUAAUCAAGUAUAUGACUAAACCUUGAAGUACACAUGUCAAGUCAACGUUAAAAAUUUCAUGAGGUUUCAUUUAGCAGCAUUGUUAGAUUUGGUUCAACUUGGCUUUCUAGUACUACACUUAAAAA
Molecule: non-coding RNA, 2311 nt
Organism: Camellia sinensis
Lineage: Eukaryota; Viridiplantae; Streptophyta; Magnoliopsida; Ericales; Theaceae
Source: RefSeq, a predicted model, not a curated record